GACGAACGCUGGCGGCGUGCUUAACACAUGCAAGUCGAACGGAAAGGCGCUGCUUUUGUGGGGCUCUCGAGUGGCGAACGGGUGAGUAACACGUGAGUAACCUGCCCCUGUCUUUGGGAUAACUUCAGGAAACCGGGGCUAUUACCGGAUAGGAUCUCCUGCUGCAUUGUGGUGGUUGGAAAGUUUCGGCGGUUGGGGAUGGACUCGCGGCUUAUCAGCUUGUUUGUGGGGUAGUGGCUUACCAAGGCUUUGACGGGUAGCCGGCCUGAGAGGGUGACCGGCCACAUUGGGACUGAGAUACGGCCCAGACUCCUACGGGAGGCAGCAGUGGGGAAUAUUGCACAAUGGGCGGAAGCCUGAUGCAGCAACGCCGCGUGCGGGAUGACGGCCUUCGGGUUGUAAACCGCUUUCGCCUGUGACGAAGCGUGAGUGACGGUAAUGGGUAAAGAAGCACCGGCUAACUACGUG
Molecule: ribosomal RNA, 468 nt
Filed under: uncultured bacterium
Lineage: Bacteria
Description: partial 16S ribosomal RNA
Rfam family: Bacterial small subunit ribosomal RNA
Source: RNAcentral